RNAcentral lists this long non-coding RNA (294 nucleotides) under Gossypium barbadense (sea-island cotton). RNAcentral's name for it is "long non-coding RNA (GBAR_LNC020848)". The record is from RNAcentral. Lineage: Eukaryota; Viridiplantae; Streptophyta; Magnoliopsida; Malvales; Malvaceae.
GCGAAAUAGACUGUCAUGCCAAACUGCCCAGCCAAAAUUUGAUUGAAUGCAAAAUUAAGAGGACAUUUCUAUAAGCAUUCAAAUUAGGGCGAAAUGGACUGUCAUGCCAAACUGCCUUGCCAAAAUUGGAUUGAAUGCAAAAUUAAGAGGACAUUUCUAUUGGCACUCCAAUUGGGACAAAACGGAUUGUCAUGCCAAACUACCCAACCAAACUGCCUUGCCCAAACUUUAUUGAAUGCAACAAUAAGAGGACAUUUCUAUAAGCAUUCAAAUUGGGAUGAAAUAGACGGUCAC